RNAcentral lists this long non-coding RNA (820 nucleotides) under Equus caballus (horse). RNAcentral's name for it is "lncRNA (ENSECAG00000035587.2)". The record is from RNAcentral. Lineage: Eukaryota; Metazoa; Chordata; Mammalia; Perissodactyla; Equidae.
AUCAAGAUAAAUACUCAACGGUCCACAAGUCUUUGUGAGUGCCAGCCCCUUUCGAAUUUUCUUCUGCUGGACCUCAUUCUCACUAAUUCUCCUCUCUGUCACCAGAACAAAUCAUCUCCUGAUGCCCUCCGUGGUGAUUCUCCCGUCUGUUAUUUAUGACACCCCUCCAGCACUGCUCGGCCCAACAUCUCAGUCGUCUUGUCCUACCAGAUACCUCACUCUGUUUCUGGAUAUGACCGCGUAAACGUGAGGCCCGUCUGUGCUGGGGCCACUUUGCAAUAAUCCAGGAAGUCAGCCCAAAGUGAUGGCAACACCACGGCAAGACAGAGGGACAAAUAAUGACACCAGUGAACUGUUAAUCCUCCUCUUUCCAAUGACAAGACCCACUACGUCCCUAGCGUCAUAGAAAUCAACUUGAUUCUGGUGCCCUUUGACAAGCUCCGGGAAGUGUCCCAAAUGCUGUGAUCUGCCAUUUGUGCUGUGUCCACACAGAGACCCAGCCCUCGCCUUCCCCCACUCUGAGCUCUGACACCACAUAGAGUCUGGAGCACACAAUGACAUCGUAUCACGAUUGGUACUUAUGUUUGUCCAGUUCAUCGUCAGAAGGAUUUCCAGCUGAUAUUUUGGCUGUGGCGGGAAGAGCCCUGGGACUGGGAAUUCUGGUUCUGGAAAGGAUUCCCUCAUGCUUAUGCAGUUCAGUCUCCUUCAGCUGUAACAUGAAGGGAAUUCCUCCCCAGCCUCCUGUCCACACCAAAGCUGUGAGGAGGCUGGGGUCUUUUCAGGGGUCUCCAGGAGCAGUGAGUGCACGGGGAGUCCCGCU